This 253-nucleotide ribosomal RNA is filed under the name uncultured bacterium. Its description in RNAcentral is "partial 16S ribosomal RNA". It matches the Rfam family "Bacterial small subunit ribosomal RNA", at positions 524 to 776 of the family's 1533-position model. The record is from RNAcentral.
UACGGAGGGGGCUAGCGUUGUUCGGAAUUACUGGGCGUAAAGCGCGCGUAGGCGGCGAUUUAAGUCAGAGGUGAAAGCCCGGGGCUCAACCCCGGAACUGCCUUUGAGACUGGAUUGCUAGAAUCAUGGAGAGGUGAGUGGAAUUCCGAGUGUAGAGGUGAAAUGCGUAGAUAUUCGGAGGAACACCAGUGGCGAAGGCGGCUCACUGGACAUGUAUUGACGCUGAGACGCGAAAGCGUGGGGAGCAAACAGG